This 397-nucleotide ribosomal RNA is filed under the name uncultured bacterium. Its description in RNAcentral is "bacterial SSU rRNA". It matches the Rfam family "Bacterial small subunit ribosomal RNA", at positions 362 to 776 of the family's 1533-position model. The record is from RNAcentral.
UAUUGCACAAUGGGGGAAACCCUGAUGCAGCGACGCCGCGUGAGUGAAGAAGUAUUUCGGUAUGUAAAGCUCUAUCAGCAGGGAAGAAAAUGACGGUACAUGAUUAAGAAGCCCCGGCUAACUACGCGCCAGCAGCCGCGGUAAUACGUAGGGGGCAAGCGUUAUCCGGAUUUACUGAGUGUAAAGGGAGCGUAGACGGCAGCACAAGUCUGGAGUGAAAUGCCGGAGCUUAACCCCGGAACUGCUUUGGAAACUGUGCAGAUAGAGUGCAGGAGAAGUAAGUGGAAUUCCUAGUGUAGCGGUGAAAUGCGUAGAUAUUAGGAGGAACACCAGUGGCGAAGGCGGCUUACUGGACUGUAACUGACGUUGAGACUCGAAAGCGUGGGGAGCAAACAGG